RNAcentral lists this unclassified non-coding RNA (223 nucleotides) under plant metagenome. RNAcentral's name for it is "partial contains small subunit ribosomal RNA, internal transcribed spacer 1, and 5.8S ribosomal RNA". The record is from RNAcentral.
GCUCCGUUGGUGAACCAGCGGAGGGAUCAUUACCGAGUUAUCAACUCCCAAACCCCUGUGAACAUACCCAACGUUGCUUCGGCGGGACCGCCCCGGCGCCCUCGGCGUCCCGGAACCAGGCGCCCGCCGGAGGACCCAAACUCUUGUUUAAACCAUAGUGGCAUGUUCUGAGUCUCACAAGAAAAAUGAAUCAAAACUUUCAACAACGGAUCUCUUGGCUCUG